CUUCACAGAAGUAGAGCAAGACCAGAGAGAACCCUGGGAGUAGUUGUAAGCUGCCAUGUGGGCACUGCUCCCCGAAAGAGCGGUCAUAUCCAGAAAAGAUACUCCCAAGAAUGGCUCUCAGGGAAGAUACUACAGUUUAAUUGCCUACAUGAAGGAAGAGGCAAUUACAGCAGAGCUAUUGGAGUUUCGGUAUGUACCACUGCUUUUUGUCUGAGUCGUUUAUCCAGACGAGGGCCACGCUCUGCAACUCUAGAACAAGGACUCGCUACUCUUUGCUUCCAACAAAUCCCAACACCUGUCCCUAGGAAGGCUGAAGGUUCAGAUCCUUUCCAACUACCCGCUCCGAACUUCCCAAACCAGGCUUUUAGGUGGUGAACGUGUCGGCUUAGCGAAGCUGCAGUACCAGGUCCUGCCACGAGAGGACACGGAGCCGCCGGACACCCCCUCUUCAAUCAAAUCUGCAAGAGGUCAAAGGCGCCCCCUCCUCUAAGCUGAGUCUGCAUCUGCGCGCGCAGCUGGAAGUCCUCCGCAAUCCUCACCUCCAAACGGGCUCCUUUUUCCUCCGAAAGGUGAUCUGGAAGUACCCGGAGGUCUUAAGUGAUUAAUGAUUGCCAGUCAUAACGGACGGCAGCGUUUAAAG
Molecule: long non-coding RNA, 640 nt
Filed under: Meriones unguiculatus (Mongolian gerbil)
Lineage: Eukaryota; Metazoa; Chordata; Mammalia; Rodentia; Muridae
Description: lncRNA (ENSMUGG00000002587.1)
Source: RNAcentral